Molecule: ribosomal RNA, 452 nt
Filed under: uncultured bacterium
Lineage: Bacteria
Description: SSU rRNA
Rfam family: Bacterial small subunit ribosomal RNA
Source: RNAcentral
AGAGCGAACGCUGGCGGCAUGCUUAACACAUGCAAGUCGCACGGGCGGGGGCAACCCUGUCAGUGGCGGACGGGUGAGUAACGCGUAGGUAUCUAUCCUUGGGUGGGGGACAACUGUGGGAAACUACAGCUAAUACCGCAUGAUGACCGAGGUCCAAAGCUCGCGAGAGCGCCUGGGGAGGAGCCUGCGUACGAUUAGCUAGUUGGUGGGUAAAGCCUACCAAGGCGACGAUCGUUAGCUGGUCUGAGAGGAUGAUCAGCCACAUUGGGACUGAGACACGGCCCAAACUCCUACGGGAGGCAGCAGUGGGGAAUAUUGGACAAUGGGCGCAAGCCUGAUCCAGCAAUGCCGCGUGUGUGAAGAAGGUCUUCGGAUUGUAAAGCACUUUCGACGGGGACGAUGAUGACGGUACCCGUAGAAGAAGCCCCGGCUAACUUCGCGCCAGCAGCCGC